AUUGAACGCUGGCGGCGUGCUUAACACAUGCAAGUCGUGCGGUAACAGGCGUAGCAAUACGUGCUGACGAGCGGCGAACGGGUGCGUAAUACAUGGGAAUCUGCCUUUUAGUGGGGAAUAACCCGGCGAAAGCCGGGCUAAUGCCGCAUAAGAUCUUCGGAUGAAAGCGGGGGAGUCGUAAGACCUCGCGCUGAUAGAUGAGCCCAUGCCGGAUUAGCAGUUGGUGAGGUAACGGCUCACCAAGGCGACGAUCCGUAGCUGGUCUGAGAGGACGGCCAGCCACACUGGGACUGAGACACGGCCCAGACUCCUACGGGAGGCAGCAGUGGGGAAUAUUGGACAAUGGGGAAACCCUGAUCCAGCGACGCCGCGUGUGUGAAGAAGGCCUGCGGGUUGUAAA
This 400-nucleotide ribosomal RNA is filed under the name uncultured bacterium. Its description in RNAcentral is "bacterial SSU rRNA". It matches the Rfam family "Bacterial small subunit ribosomal RNA", at positions 30 to 429 of the family's 1533-position model. The record is from RNAcentral.